Long non-coding RNA from Oncorhynchus tshawytscha (Chinook salmon), 586 nucleotides. The record is from Ensembl. Lineage: Eukaryota; Metazoa; Chordata; Actinopteri; Salmoniformes; Salmonidae.
GCUGGAGGAAAAAGGAAUACAUAAUAGAUGUAACCUAUGUGAAUGAGAGGACUGAGAUUCUCAGGGGCAUGGAGGUGUACAGUGUAUGGUGGUGUACAGGGUAUAGAGGUGUACAGGGUAUGGUGAUGUAUAGGGUAUGGUGGUGUACAGGGUAUGGUGGUGUACAGGGUAUGGUGGUGUACAGGGUAUAGUGAUGUACAGGGUAUGGUGUUGUACAGGGCAUGGUGGUGUACAGGGUAUGGAGGUGUACAGGGUAUGGAGGUGUACAGGGUAUGGUGAUGUAAAGGGUAUGGUGGUAUACAGGGUAUGGUGGUGUACAGGGUAUGGAGGUGUACAGGGUAUGGAGGUGUACAGGGUAUGGUGGUGUAAGAGGUAUGUGGUAUACAAGGUGUGGUGGUGUACAGGGUAUGGUGGUGUACAGUGUAUGGAGGUGUACAGGGUAGGGUGGUGUACAGGGUAUGGUGGUGUACAGGGUAUGGUGGUGUACAGGGUAUGAUGGUGUACAGUGUAUGUUGAUGUACAGUGUAUGUUGAUGUACACGGUAUGAUGGUGUACAGGGAAUGGUGGUAUACAGGGCAUGGUGGUG